Molecule: long non-coding RNA, 271 nt
Filed under: Sus scrofa (pig)
Lineage: Eukaryota; Metazoa; Chordata; Mammalia; Artiodactyla; Suidae
Description: lncRNA (ENSSSCG00055014740.1)
Source: RNAcentral
AAAGAUGAGGCUAUUAUGGGCUACUUUGCUAUGAAGCUACUACAAGCCUGCCUGGAGUAUGGAUUAUCUGCAGGUUUGCUUCUUGAUCCGAAUCAUAGCUUCUAUAAUGGUUGCAAGAGCCUUGCAGGCAGGAAGAGUGUCUUUCUUCUUCCCCUUUUCUUCCUUCCGUACCUUUCACCCCACUCCUAUUGCUUGGAUAGAGAUCUGAAACUUCAAAGAUAUUCAGUGAGUGUCUAGUAAAUCAAUGAAUAAAUGAAGAGUUAGGGCAGCA